This 484-nucleotide ribosomal RNA is filed under the name uncultured bacterium. Its description in RNAcentral is "bacterial SSU rRNA". It matches the Rfam family "Bacterial small subunit ribosomal RNA", at positions 33 to 507 of the family's 1533-position model. The record is from RNAcentral.
GACACGCUGGCGGCGUGCUUAACACAUGCAAGUCAGGGAAAAAGGGUAGCAAUAUCCUGAGUACACCGGCGCACGGGUGAGUAACACGUAGGCAAUCUGCCUUUAGGACGGGAACAACCACGCGAAAGCGUGGCUAAUACCCCGAUAAUGCAGCGGCACCGCAUGGUGAUGUUGUUAAAGGCCCGCAAGGGCGCCUAUUGGAUGAGCCUGCGUCCCAUUUAGGUAGUUGGCGGGGUAACAGCCCACCAAGCCGACGAUGGGUAGCUGGUCUGAGAGGAUGAUCAGCCACACUGGAACUGAGACACGGUCCAGACUCCUACGGGAGGCAGCAGUGAGGAAUAUUGCGCAAUGGCCGAAAGGCUGACGCAGCGACGCCGCGUGAAGGAUGAAGUCCGUUAGGAUGUAAACUUCUUUUGUGAGGGAUGAAUGUCCCCGUUUACGGGGCUUGACCGUACCUCACGAAUAAGGGUCGGCUAACUACGUG